Molecule: long non-coding RNA, 746 nt
Organism: Lathyrus oleraceus (garden pea)
Lineage: Eukaryota; Viridiplantae; Streptophyta; Magnoliopsida; Fabales; Fabaceae
Exons: 3
Source: RefSeq, a predicted model, not a curated record
AACUCUCUCCACCUAAGCUCAUAAUUCCUCAAUGUCCAAAACAUUUACAUCACCUUCUUCACCUUUUUGCUAUGAAUCCCAAAAUUACAGUGAAGCAACCUAAUUCCUCAUCAAUAAUAUGAAUCAAAGCCAAAUGACAAAGAACCCAAAUUAAAUCCUACUCUCUCAGAAUCAAAGCCCUAGAGGUUAGGGCUUUGAUUCCUCUAACCUUCUUCUACAUUCAGGUAACUCGUAUGCAAUGAAAUAAUGAAGAAAACAUACCUCCGAUGCUGAGAAUUACUUCAACGAGUUGUUGAAUCAGAGAAGAUAAAGCUUACGUUGAGGAAUCACUUAAACCAGGAUUAUUAUAUUAAUGCAAUGGCUUGUUGCUCAUGCUGCUGUGAAACAGUUAUUGUAGGGUUAAGACAUGAUUGGCUGCAGCAGGAGGUGAAUGUUGGCAUGCUCGAUGUGGAUGCUAGGUUUGAUGUUUGAUGGUUGAUGCAUGAAAGUAUUGUGAUGCUCAUGUAUGUGUGACUAUUGUGAGGUGAUGGAUAAUGCGAAGGUGAUCCUAACUUGAAGACCAAGGAAAUUAGGACUUAGGGAUUUUGAAAUGAUGAGCUGACUUUGGUCAACUGGUUAAUCAAAAAGUCAAUAGUUGACCAAAAGUCAACUUAUGCAAAAAUUAUGCAUUUUCUUUAUAAUUUUUCAAUGCAAUGUAUGUUGGACAAUGUAAUCAAUGAAUCUUGCAAAUGAAGUGUACUUUCUUU